AGCCACACAAGUGACCCCAGGCGACGAUGGCACUUCUAAGCAUAACUGGUAGACAAGGUAACAGAGGUGGAGAGACUAGCGGCUGUAGCAGCAGAGUCACGUGAUCCAGCAUCCUACGUGCAUGUGCGCUCUCCGUUACCCGCCGAUCCGGCUUGGUGUGCUUCUCGUGUUUGCGGGUUGUGUGCCACACUUGAUUAAGCACCCCACGUUCUCCUACAGUGCGCCCUUGACCCUGGCUUUAGGUAGCGCUGUGUCCUCGGCUUGCCGUGCAUAAUCCAGGUAUGCGCCAACUCUCCGAGCUCCUGCUCACCAUUGGUGUUGCUCGAGCGUGGGUUCUGGUGUCGCGCAUAAAGGGAACACGGGAUGUGUGAUUGUGACAGUUCACAUAGC
Molecule: long non-coding RNA, 390 nt
Filed under: Hordeum vulgare
Lineage: Eukaryota; Viridiplantae; Streptophyta; Magnoliopsida; Poales; Poaceae
Description: long non-coding RNA (HVUL_LNC007064)
Source: RNAcentral